CAGCCGCCACGGUAAUACGGAGGGUGCAAGCGUUAAUCGGAAUUACUGGGCGUAAAGCGUGCGUAGGUGGUGGUUUAAGUCCGUUGUGAAAGCCCUGGGCUCAACCUGGGAAUUGCAGUGGAUACUGGGUCACUAGAGUGUGGUAGAGGAUAGUGGAAUUUCCGGUGUAGCAGUGAAAUGCGUAGAGAUCGGAAGGAACAUCUGUGGCGAAGGCGACUAUCUGGGCCAACACUGACACUGAGGCACGAAAGCGUGGGGAGCAAACAGGAUUAGAUACCCGCGUAGUCCCUGUCUCUUAUAC
This 301-nucleotide ribosomal RNA is filed under the name uncultured bacterium. RNAcentral describes it as "partial 16S ribosomal RNA". It matches the Rfam family "Bacterial small subunit ribosomal RNA", at positions 509 to 807 of the family's 1533-position model. The record is from RNAcentral.